GACGAACGCUGGCGGCGUGCCUAAUACAUGCAAGUAGAACGCUGAAGAGAGGAGCUUACUCUUCUUGGAUGAGUUGCGAACGGGUGAGUAACGCGUAGGUAACCUGCCUUGUAGCGGGGGAUAACUAUUGGAAACGAUAGCUAAUACCGCAUAACAAUGGAUGACACAUGUCAUUUAUUUGAAAGGGGCAAUUGCUCCACUACAAGAUGGACCUGCGUUGUAUUAGCUAGUAUGUGAGGUAAUGGCUCACCUAGGCGACGAUACAUAGCCGACCUGAGAGGGUGAUCGGCCACACUGGGACUGAGACACGGCCCAGACUCCUACGGGAGGCAGCAGUAGGGAAUCUUCGGCAAUAGGGGCAACCCUGACCGAGCAACGCCGCGUGAGUGAAGAAGGUUUUCGGAUCGUAAAGCUCUGUUGUAAGUCAAGAACGGGUGUGAGAGUGGAAAGUUCACACUGUGACGGUAGCUUACCAGAAAGGGACGGCUAACUACGUG
Molecule: ribosomal RNA, 497 nt
Filed under: uncultured bacterium
Lineage: Bacteria
Description: partial 16S ribosomal RNA
Rfam family: Bacterial small subunit ribosomal RNA
Source: RNAcentral